This 492-nucleotide ribosomal RNA is filed under the name uncultured bacterium. RNAcentral's name for it is "partial 16S ribosomal RNA". It matches the Rfam family "Bacterial small subunit ribosomal RNA", at positions 28 to 507 of the family's 1533-position model. The record is from RNAcentral.
GAUGAACGCUAGCUACAGGCUUAACACAUGCAAGUCGAGGGGAAACGACAUCGAAAGCUUGCUUUUGAUGGGCGUCGACCGGCGCACGGGUGAGUAACGCGUAUCCAACCUGCCCAUCACUUGGGGAUAACCUUGCGAAAGUAAGACUAAUACACAAUGAUAUCUCUAGAAGACAUCUGAAAGAGAUUAAAGAUUUAUCGGUGAUGGAUGGGGAUGCGUCUGAUUAGCUUGUUGGCGGGGUAACGGCCCACCAAGGCAACGAUCAGUAGGGGUUCUGAGAGGAAGGUCCCCCACAUUGGAACUGAGACACGGUCCAAACUCCUACGGGAGGCAGCAGUGAGGAAUAUUGGUCAAUGGGCGAGAGCCUGAACCAGCCAAGUAGCGUGCAGGAAGACGGCCCUAUGGGUUGUAAACUGCUUUUAUAAGGGAAUAAAGUGAGAGUCGUGACUCUUUUUGUAUGUACCUUAUGAAUAAGGACCGGCUAAUUCCGUG